GUAGUCUGCAACCCGACUACAUGAAGCCGGAAUCGCUAGUAAUCGCGGAUCAGAAUGCCGCGGUGAAUACGUUCCCGGGUCUUGUACACACCGCCCGUCACACCAUGGGAGUUGGAAAUGCCCGAAGUCAGUGGCUCAACCGGAAGGGGGGAGCUGCCGAAGGCAGGUUCGAUGACUGGGGUGAAGUCGUAACAAGGUACC
This 201-nucleotide ribosomal RNA is filed under the name uncultured bacterium. RNAcentral describes it as "partial 16S ribosomal RNA". It matches the Rfam family "Bacterial small subunit ribosomal RNA", at positions 1300 to 1500 of the family's 1533-position model. The record is from RNAcentral.